RNA transcript from Lycium ferocissimum, 1942 nucleotides. RefSeq lists it as uncharacterized. Lineage: Eukaryota; Viridiplantae; Streptophyta; Magnoliopsida; Solanales; Solanaceae. The transcript has 11 exons. The record is from RefSeq and is a predicted model, not a curated record.
UGCUUGGGUAGCACUAUAUAAAUGGAGGAAGGAGCCCAUUUGAAGAGGCAAAACGAAAUGGAUGGCUAUGUUCCCUCCACGACUCCAAUAAUCUACACUUCAUCUCUGCUAUUUUCUCCAAGUCGCGGUGUCGUAGUUGCUUUAGAAGUACUCAAUCCCACUUUGAGUAAUUAGUAGAAUGUAAAAGUAGACCCACCGCAGAGCAAUUAGAUUGAUAUUACACAUACUGGAGCAAGUAGAAUUGGAAGAAGGAUUUUGAGUUAUUAGUGUGUUUUGGUAUUGAAGAAAAUGCAGAAUGACGAGGUAGUGGUAAACGUACACCCAUGAAAGGUAUAUCUUUCUCAGAAACACUAUCAGCCUUUGCAUUUGCAUACAUUGGCGUUGGCUGUAACGCAUACAUCAAGCCCACUCAUGCUUCCACAAUUAUGGCUAAGAAGACCAAGAGUUCCGACACACCCUCUUCUAAAGAUACUGAGACACCUCCUCCGAGGAUUACAUCAAACUUGAAGCAGAAUUUGCAGUUCCUAAGAUUAUGGAAGGAGUUCCAAAAGAGAAAAUCCAGUACUCCAAAGCCUGCUACUAGUUAUCGUAAGAAGAAGGUGGAGAAGGAAGACCUGCCAGAAGAUGAUGAGAUCUAUCGCGAUCCUACUUUGGCACUAUACUAUACAAAUCAGGUAUUGGAUAUUGCAGUUCCCGUCUUGCUUGUUGAUGGAUAUAAUGUGUGUGGAUAUUGGCCAAAGUUGAAGAAGCAUUUUAUGAAUGGAAGUCUUGACAUUGCUCGUCAAAAGCUCAUUGAUGAACUUGUAUCAUUCAGUUUGCUAAGAGAGGUGAAAGUGGUGGUUGUAUUCGAUGCCAUGAUGUCUGGACUACCUACACACAAGGAAAACUUUGAGGGCAUUGAUGUAGUAUACUCAAGUGAAACAUGUGCUGAUGCAUGGAUUGAGAAGGAGGUGGUCGCAUUAAGGGAGGAUGGGUGUCCAAAAGUCUGGGUUGUCACAUCUGAUCAUAAUCAGCAGCAUGCAGCCUAUGGAGCAGGGGCUUUUGUUUGGAGCUGCAAGGCAUUAAUCUCUGAGAUCAAAGCUUCACAUAAGGAGGUUGAGAGAAUGCUGCGGGAACAUAGUUAUCAUUUGCAUUGUGGACAUUUCAAUUUCAUCAACUAUAUAUAACUAUCACACCUAAGGGUGUGACCUAGCGGUUAAUGAGUGGGUUAAGAACCAUGGGGUCUCACGUUCAAAUCCCAACAGACAAAAAUCCAAGGGCGCGCAAGCUGGCCCGGACACAACGGUUAUUUGAAAAAAACUAUGUAUAACUACCCAUUCAGGAUACUCCUUUCCUUUCCAGCUGUCGAAUCAAUUGGUGAAACUAGUAAUGGGAGGCUAUAGUAUGACUAAUAUCUACUUCUAUGCAAGGUAAAUUGUUAAAGCACAACCUCGAUGCAGAAGUUGUGGAUGCUCUCAAGGACCUCAGGGACCAGCUUUCUCAAAAUGAGAUGCGAAGGUGAUAUAGUGUCACGAGAGGCUAUAUCAGAGACGAAAGAGAAUUUUAAGUCAAUGGAUGCCUAGUUAUCACUGCACUAACAACUUUGUGACGGUACUUUUGGGAUCACUAUAAAUACAUGCAUCUUGAAAAAAGUUCCAACCAUGUGUGCAUCUUGGGCUGAUGCUACCUUCAACAUACAUUUGCCUCUCGGGUUAUACCUUCUACCUUGUGACGACAUCAUGGAGAUGCAUACAUUUAAUUAUCUUUCCCAGUUCUUGCUGUCCUUUCAACCCUAAUUCAACAAUAGUUUCAGAAAAGCUGGAUGUUGUAUUUACAAGUUGUGUGUCGAUUCUACAUUGUACAGCAGUCUGCUUAUAGGGAAUGAGUGAUAUACAAGUUGGAUCAGUUAAUUGUUCUAGCUUUGAUAAUAUUGCAAAUAUAACCUCUUAUGAUGUUGAGUGCA